RNAcentral lists this unclassified non-coding RNA (2319 nucleotides) under Leishmania donovani. RNAcentral describes it as "gene:LdHU3.23.1910(CDS-product:membrane-bound_aci d_phosphatase_2)". The record is from RNAcentral. Lineage: Eukaryota; Euglenozoa; Kinetoplastea; Trypanosomatida; Trypanosomatidae.
GCUUUCUUCUUUCGUUUUCGGCACUCCGCACUCACCCUCGUCACUGACCCUGAAGGUUCCACAAUGCGGCAGGUGCUGUUUUUGCUGCUGCUGGCCGCGCUGCUCCUGUGCGUGCCGGCGCCUGUUACUGCUGCGCUGGAUAUGAAGCUCGUGAUGGUUCAGCUGAUGCACCGGCACGGCGCCCGCACGGCGGAGCCGAGCUACAACAAGACCCAGAUCUGCGGCGACACCCCCUGCGGGUACCUUACGUGGUCUGGGAUCGAGAUGCUCAGCAAGACGGGCGCGUUCCUGCGGAGCCGCUACAACACGGAUUCCUCCGUUGUGUCUGAGCCCAUGUUCCCCUCGGAGGACUACGACUUGGAUGUCGCAUACAGCCGCUCGACCGAUGUGCUGCGGACGCUGCAGAGCGCCGAGUCGUUCCUGCGCGGCUUCUUUCCGAACUUGACGUCUCUGUACCCCGCUAUUCACACGGUGCCAGAGCAGGAUGACUACAUUCUGUACACAAACUACGUACCGCAAUUCCAGUUUUAUUGGAGCCUGGAUAUGGCGGGCGUGCGUGCUGUUUGCAACCCGGUUGUAGAUCGGAACUUCCCUGACUUCAACACGCUGACGACGAUUGCGCAGGAGGUGUACAGUGAGGGGUACUGCAGCGAUUUCACGCGGCGCACUGAUUGUGCCUUUACGCUGUUUGAUAUCGCCGUCUCCAAGGAAGCCAUCGGAGAACUGGACAAUUAUCCGAAAUUGAAGACUAAUCGGGACAGGCUGAGUCAGGUGGCCCGCGAGCACUUUGCGAGGCAGUACGUGUACAACCGCAGCGACACCCGGUGCUUUCAGCAAGGGAGCUCUGGGCAGCCGAUUCUUCAGGAGUUCGUGAAGAAUAUCGGCGCGGCGAUGGCGGGCACCAGCAGGUACAAGCUGUACCACUACAGCGCUCACGACACGACGCUGAGCCGAAUCGCGUGCUCGUUGCAGGACACGGCCGACGACGGGCUGCUGCCGCCCUUUGCGCAGACGCUCGUUUUGGAGCUGCUGCAGAGCCUGUCAGACUCGUCGUACCAUGUGCGUGUGCUGCGCGGACACACCGGACAGAGUCCCGCAUCUGGCUUCGAGUUCGCGUGGGAGCCGGACUGGCAGCUGAAGUGCAUGAGCCCAUCUGGGCAGCUGUACAACGCGAGCGGGAACAGGUGCCCCGUGGCUGACUUCACGCGGUUUGUGCAGUGGGGUGCUGCUCCGGCAGGGUCGAUGGGGUACUGCUACCUGGACGAGAAGUACCGGCAGCUGCGCAACUGUCCGGAGGGCGGGAUCGAGGCCGGUGAGGCGUGGCAGGCGCUGCCGAGCGGAUGCCAGUACUACCGAAGGCGGUGCCCGUCGUACUCGUGCGACGCUGGGUACAUGCUGGACAGUUUGUCGUUGCAGUGCGUAUGUAUUGCCCCUUCAUGCCUUCCGACGUCCAGCACUGCUGCGCCAGGGUUGCCGGAUGGCAGUCCUCACGGCGCGGCGAACAAUACACUUGCAAAGCCCUCCGGGCUGAGUGCCGGCGGCACGGCUGCCGUGGCGAUGGGAACCUUCUGCAUCGGGGCUCUUCUCGCUGCUUUCGUCACCGCUGCGGUGCUCCUCUGCUGCAAGCAUCGCAAAUCCCCCCCCUUCUCCGAGGUUUGAAAGCUGCAAGGAGAGGCAUGUGGGUGUUCACCGACGCUGGUGAAUCCAUCGUGUGUUUUCGGUUUCUCUUCCGCUCCCAUGAGCGACAUGGUAAUGCCUCUAAGCAGCAAUCACAACAGCGGACAAAUGUAUGCUGUCCAGUAGAAAUAGACCGCCUCGAAAGGACAAAACGAGACUUCACGCUACUCGUUUGUAACUCCGAGGUCCACCCUCUUCUUUUGGUUCCCACGGUUCGAGUGUUGGUGUGGUUCACUGCCCUCUCUCUGAAGGAAAAAAAACACGCAACACGGCGCCAGACCAACCACUUGCCACGCGGGAGCCUUCGCAAGGUGUCGAUGAGCACGCCGAGAGGCUCACUCGCCUUUUUUCUCGUUCUCCUCUUCCUCUGGUCGCUAGUGAAAAGAGUACAGCAUGAAGGACGGCGAACGGAGGUCAAAAAAUGAACCAUCUCCCCGAAGCAAGACGACGGGCGAGCUCGAACUCGCACAGACGUCCCUCGCUUCGUUUCGCUUCGUGUUUUUUUAACUCUCAUUUGUGAUGUACAGCUCGCUGCGCUGUUUCUUUUUCUUUUCCCCCUUCUCUCGUUUCUCUUGUUGCUGCCCCCUGCAUAAUGAUUUGUAUUAACUCUGUUCUCUCGUUGCGCGAGGUUUCGGCUUGCAG